This 497-nucleotide ribosomal RNA is filed under the name uncultured bacterium. RNAcentral describes it as "partial 16S ribosomal RNA". It matches the Rfam family "Bacterial small subunit ribosomal RNA", at positions 28 to 507 of the family's 1533-position model. The record is from RNAcentral.
GAUGAACGCUGGCGGCGUGCCUAAUACAUGCAAGUCGAGCGAACAGACGAGGAGCUUGCUCCUCUGACGUUAGCGGCGGACGGGUGAGUAACACGUGGAUAACCUACCUAUAAGACUGGGAUAACUUCGGGAAACCGGAGCUAAUACCGGAUAAUAUAUUGAACCGCAUGGUUCAAUAGUGAAAGACGGUUUUGCUGUCACUUAUAGAUGGAUCCGAGCCGCAUUAGCUAGUUGGUAAGGUAACGGCUUACCAAGGCAACGAUGCGUAGCCGACCUGAGAGGGUGAUCGGCCACACGGGAACUGAGACACGGUCCAGACUCCUACGGGAGGCAGCAGUAGGGAAUCUUCCGCAAUGGGCGAAAGCCUGACGGAGCAACGCCGCGUGAGUGAUGAAGGUCUUCGGAUCGUAAAACUCUGUUAUUAGGGAAGAACAAAUGUGUAAGUAACUAUGCACGUCUUGACGGUACCUAAUCAGAAAGCCACGGCUAACUACGUG